This is a non-coding RNA of Dipodomys ordii (Ord's kangaroo rat), 70 nucleotides long. The record is from Rfam. NCBI's taxonomy places the organism in Eukaryota, Metazoa, Chordata, Mammalia, Rodentia, Heteromyidae.
GGGAAGGUAGCUCAGUGGUAGAGUGCUUGCCUUGCAUGCACGAGGCCCUGGGUUCGAUUCCUCAGCACCA